UGUCGUCAGCUCGUGUCGUGAGAUGUUGGGUUAAGUCCCGCCAACGAGCGCAACCCCUGCUGCCAGUUGCAACGGGUAGAGCCGGGCACUCUGGCGGGACUGCCAUCGACAAGAUGGAGGAAGGUGGGGAUGACGUCAAGUCAUCAUGGCCCUUAUGUCCAGGGCGACACACGUGCUACAAUGGCCGGCACAGCGGGAAGCGAGGCAGUGAUGCCAAGCGGAUCCCUUAAAGCCGGUCUCAGUUCGGAUUGAAGUCUGCAACUCGACUUCAUGAAGCUGGAAUCGCUAGUAAUCGCAGAUCAGCCAAGCUGCGGUGAAUACGUUCCCGGGCCUU
This 334-nucleotide ribosomal RNA is filed under the name uncultured Synergistaceae bacterium. Its description in RNAcentral is "bacterial SSU rRNA". It matches the Rfam family "Bacterial small subunit ribosomal RNA", at positions 1050 to 1382 of the family's 1533-position model. The record is from RNAcentral. Lineage: Bacteria; Thermotogati; Synergistota; Synergistia; Synergistales; Synergistaceae.